GAUGAAGAACGUAGUGAAAUGCGAUACGUAAUGUGAAUUGCAGAAUUCAGUGAAUCAUCGAAUCUUUGAACGCAUAUUGCGCUCUCUGGUAUUCCGGAGAGCAUGCUUGUUUGAGUAUCAGUAAACACCUCAACUUCCAUAUCUUUUUUGAAAUGGGAGUUGGACUUGAGUGAUCCCAACGCUUUUCCUCACCGAAAAGUGGCGGGUUACUUGAAAUGCAGGUGCAGCUGGACUUUUCUCUGAGCUAUAAGCAUAUCUAUUUAGUCUGCCUAAAAAACAGAUUAUUACCUUUGCUGCAGCUAACAUAAAGGAGAUUAGUUCUUGUGCUGACUGAUGCAGGAUUCACAAAGACGGCUUCGGCCGACUUUGUAAACUCGAUCUCAAAUCAAGUAAGACUACCCGCUGAACUUAAGCAUAUCAUAAGCGGAGGA
This 431-nucleotide unclassified non-coding RNA is filed under the name soil metagenome. Its description in RNAcentral is "partial contains 5.8S ribosomal RNA, internal transcribed spacer 2, and large subunit ribosomal RNA". The stretch from base 1 to 120 matches the Rfam family "5.8S ribosomal RNA", at positions 35 to 154 of the family's 154-position model. The record is from RNAcentral.